RNAcentral lists this ribosomal RNA (270 nucleotides) under Triticum aestivum (bread wheat). RNAcentral describes it as "partial small subunit ribosomal RNA". The record is from RNAcentral. Lineage: Eukaryota; Viridiplantae; Streptophyta; Magnoliopsida; Poales; Poaceae.
AUGUCCAAUGGCCAUUGGAAUUUUAUCCAUCCUUCUAUUUUUCAAGAUAAUUCAGAUUUGUUGGCGACAAAGCAAAGAAAUAGGUUCGUCAUUCCAUUACAAUAUCAUCAAGAACAAGAGAAAGAACUAAUAUCCUGUUUUGGGAUUUCGAUUCAAAUCCCCCUUAUGGAUGUUUUACAUAGAAAUACUAUUUUUGCUUAUUUUGACGAUCUCCAAUACAAAAAAGAUAAAAGGGUUCAGGAAUUGUUAAAUUUAGAUAUAGGACCCUAG